UCCAGAAUUUCUUGUGAGGAAGGUCUAGUGUUGAUGAACUUCCUCACCAUUUGUUUGUCUGGGAAAGUCUUUAUCUCACUUUCAUUUCUGAA
Ceratotherium simum simum (southern white rhinoceros) is the source of this 92-nucleotide non-coding RNA. NCBI's taxonomy places the organism in Eukaryota, Metazoa, Chordata, Mammalia, Perissodactyla, Rhinocerotidae. The record is from RefSeq and is a predicted model, not a curated record.